ACUGAGGGAGUCCUGGACUAGGGGGUGUCCGGAUAGCCGGACUAUCGAUAUCCGCCGGACUCCCAGACUACGAAGAUAGAAGAUUGAAGACUCCGGCUCGUGUCCGGAAGGUACUUUACUUGGCGUGGAAGGCAAGCUUGGCAAUACGGAUGUGUAGAUCUCCUACCAUUGUAACCGACUCUGUGUAACCCUAGCCUCUCGGUGUCUAUAUAAACCGGAGGGCUUUAGUCCGUAGGACACAACAUUACAUCUCAACAAUCAUACCAUAGGCUAGCUUCUAGGGUUUAGCCUCAUUGAUCUCGUGGUAGAUCUACUCUUGUACUACCCAUAUCAUCAAUAUUAAUCAAGCAGGACGUAGGGUAUUACCUCCAUCGAGAGGGCCUGAACCUGGGUAAAACCAUUGUGUCCCUCGUCUCCUGUUACCAUCCGUCUAGACGCACAGUUCGGGACCCCCUACCCGAGAUCCGCCGGUUUUGACAACGACAUUGGUGCUUUCAUUGAGAGUUCCUCUGUGUCGUUGCCGAUAGAGCGGAUGCCUCUACCCGUCUUCAAAGACGGUGUUCUCGCCGGAGGGGCCUUGGCCGCCGGUCAGACAAUCCGGCUUGGCGGUUUCCUUAUGACCGCCUGUCCGGCCGUCGCUUCGGCAAUGACUUCUCAAGUCGUCGAAAGCAAUCUUUGAGUCAGCCCUAAAGCUACCGAAUAGUUAGAUCCAAUCGAGCUCUCAUCUAUUAACGAGCUCUUGGAUCGCAUCGCCGCCCUGGGAGUCGCAACGGACUACGAUCAGAUCGGGCUUAAAACCGAUCUGAGAGAGAUUAACUCUCCCCAGGCAACCCACCACGUCGAAGUGGUAGAAGAACAACUCGGCAAUUCGUUGCCAUUGUUGAAAACAAUCUGUGUCCGGAUUCCCGAACCCUCCAUCCCGGAUUACCGCGGAGGGACGGACCCUGAUCGAGCAUUGAACCUAAAAUCAUGUGUCGCCCCGGACUCGCUGGGCUAUUCCCAGCAAAUCAAGCUUCCAAGUUCGGAAGACCCUCGGCCUUUGAGCCCAAAGAUGGGCAGGGAUCCGGAUUUUAUUCCACCCACCCGCCCAGACAUAUGCGACCUAUCUCUAAUUCGGCAAGAGCCCUCAGAAACAGUACAUCAUUACUGGGCCAGAUUCCUCCUGGUUAUGGACAGGAUAAAGGACUGCCGAGAGGAAAACACAAUCUCAAUCUUCUGCAAUAACUGCACGGAUAGGGGAAUCCUGAACGCCAUUGAUCGUCGCAAGAUUACGGGUUUUACCGAUCUGGCGUCCAUAGUACGAAAGUACUGUGCGAUGGAAAGUUUCCGGAAAACUGAAAAUCAAUUUUGGGAUAAUCCGGCACCAAACCCAGUCCGCGGUAAAAGGGCGCCCCACAAUCAGGCCCCAAAUGCAAAAACCAAAAAGCAAAAACCCAGCAAGGGAAACAGAACCGUACUGGAGGGAUGGCUCAAUGGACCCUGUAAACUUCAUAAUACGGGGGGAGCUGUCCCAACACAUAGCCUUCGAGCAUGUUGGAUACUACGGCAGGUGGCCAAAAGUGGCGAAGAGCUUCUAGCUCCGGGAAACCACUCCAACAAUACCAGCACGGUAUCAACAGUCUUCGAGACUUUCGCAUCAAAUAAUAUGCGAAAACGAACAAUCCGCGAACUCGCCGAAGUCUACCAAGUAGCAACAGCAAAUCCAUGGAGCGACACAGCUAUCACCUUUAGCGCCAGCGACGAGCCCACAUCUCGAACUACCAGAGCCCUAGCCGCACUAGUACUUAGUCCCAUAGUGGACGGCUUUCGACUGACAAAAGUCCUCAUGGACGGCGGCAGCGGACUAAACCUCAUUUAUGAGGAAACCCUGCGGAAAAUGGAAAUCGAUUGGAGCCGUAUUGAGCAAAGCAGCACAACCUUCAAAGGAAUAAUCCCUAGACGGGAAGCACGCUGCACCGGAAAAAUCACCCUCGAUGUGGUGUUCGGCUCUUCGGACAAUUACAGAUCCGAAGAAGUCACGUUCCAGGUAGCCCCGUUCAGCAGCAGCUAUCAUGCCAUAUUAGGAUGAGAGGCAUUCACAAUUUUUCAAGCAAUACCUCAUUACGGGUACAUGAAGCUCAAAAUGCCCGGCCCCGGCGGAAUAAUCACUCUUGUCAGUGAUCCGGAUACAGCACUCCGCGCCGAAAACAAGACAGCCGCACUAGCCCUCGAGGCACUAUCCGAAGCCUUAGCGGCAGAGGAGCUCACCGCGCUACGCUCUAGGUAAACAGGGACGAUGUGAUACUUGAUAAAAGAUCCAAGUCCACCUCCUUCAAACCAGCAGAUGAGAUAGUUAAAUUUCAGGUCCACCCAACGGACCCAACAAAGACGGCCUCCAUCGGGGCAUAGUUGAACCCCGAAGUGGACGCCGCACUGCGCGAAUUCCUUCGGGAAAAUUGGGACAUCUUCGCCUGGCACCCUUCGGACAUGCCUGGAAUCCCUCGCAGGUUGGCAGAACACAGCCUAAACAUCCUAAAAGGAUUUAAGCCAGUCAAACAGGCUCUUCGGCGAUUUUCCGAACCUAAAAGACAGGCAAUGGGAGAAGAGCUAGCCAAGUUAUUGGAAGCCGGAUUCAUUAGAGAUAUCAAACAUCCGGACUGGCUAGCAAAUUUGGUGAUGGUACCAAAGAAAGAUAAAUCCUGGCGUCUCUGUGUCGACUUCAAAGACCUCAAUAAGGCUUGCCCAAAGGAUCCUUUCCCCCUCCCCCGCAUCGAUCAAAUUAUCGAUGCCACAGCAGGACACGAUUCGUUGUGCUUCCUGGAUGCAUACUCUGGCUAUCAUCAAAUCAAGAUGGCGGAAGCAGAUCAAGCCGCAACGGCAUUCAUUACUCCAUACGGGCCAUUCUGCUUCAACACGAUGCCCUUCGGACUCAAAAACGCCGGCGCAACAUAUCAGCACAUGAUUCAAACAUGUCUGGCUACCCAGAUCGGCAAAACAGUCGAGGCAUACGUAGACGACGUAGUCGUCAAAACAAAACACGUCGAAACCUUAGUAGACGAUUUGAGGCUCACAUUCGACAACCUCAGAGCAUAUGACAUUAAGCUGAAUCCGGAAAAAUGCAUUUUCGGCAUACCAGCCGGGAAGCUGCUGGGCUUCAUCGUAUCCGGUAGAGGGAUCGAAGCAAAUCCGGCCAAAAUCCGGGCUCUGUCACAGUUGGAUAUCCCAAAGGACCUCAAGCAAAUACAAAAAUUAACAGGAUGCGUGGCAGCCUUAAGCCGUUUUAUCUCCCGUUUAGGAGAGAAGGCGCUGCCCCUUUAUCGCCUCCUAAGGCGCACCGAACACUUCGAGUGGACGGAUGCCGCCACUGCCGGACUCGAAGAAAUAAAGGCCAUAUUGGCAACAAAUCCGGUCCUGGCUGCGCCCACUCAGGGCGAACCGAUGUUGUUAUACAUCGCGGCAACACACCAAGUUGUGAGCGCUGUCCUCGUCGUCGAACGAGCAACAGAAGGGCAUAAAUUCCCUCUUCAAAAACCAGUGUAUUAUGUAUCCACUGUGCUAACCCCCUGCAAAUCCCAUUACCCGCACUAUCAAAAGAUAGCAUAUGCGGUGUUCAUGGCGUCUCGGAAGCUUCGGCACUACUUUCAAGAGUGUUCGAUAACAGUGGCUUCUGAAGUACCACUCAAUGACAUUAUAAAUAAUCGCGACGCAACGGGCAGGAUCGCAAAAUGGGCCAUUGAGCUCUUGCCAUUCGACAUAACCUACAAACCUCGACAAGCCAUAAAGUCACAAGUUUUGGCUGACUUCGUCGCCGAAUGGACUGAAGCCGAACUACCUAAAGAGUACGGCGCAUACUCCAAUUGGACUAUGCACUUCGACGGCUCCAAAAUGUUGGCCGGACUGGAGGCUGGCGUCGUACUGACGUCCCCCACCGGAGAUACAGUUCAGUAUGUACUUCAGAUAAUGUACACGGACUCCAACAAUGCAGCCGAAUAUGAGGCCUUAUUACAUGGUCUCCGGAUGGUAGUCUCCAUGGGCAUUCAACGCCUAGAGGUGCACGGGGAUUCAAACCUUGCAAUAUCCCAAAUAAAUGGAGACUUUGACGCCAAGGAUCCGAAAAUGGCAGCAUAUCGUAAUGUUGUCCAGAAAAUGUCAGCUCGGUUUGAAGGACUCAAAUUCCAUCACAUAGCCCGAGAUAACAACCAAGCGGCCGACAUCCUGGCACGCAUCGGUGCGAAACGUGAUGUUGUCCCUCCAAAUAUCUUCUUGGAACGGCUCUUCAAGCCAUCGUACUAUGGGAAGAGGAGUCCGGUAGCGACAAACCGGAGAAAGCCGCACCAACUGGUGAUUCAGCAGACAACGUAACACAAUCCGCCCACGACAUAAUGGCAGUAAUCGCCGCGUGGACAGAACCUUUCCUGGCCUACUUACUUAGGCAGGAACUUCCCGAAGACCAAAAUGAGGCCCGCUGCAUAGUCCGGCGAUCGAAGGCCUACAAGGUUCAUGAGGGAGAACUUUAUAAGAAAAGUACUACCGGAGUCCUUCAAAGGUGUAUCUCCAAAGAAGAAGGGAGAAACCUCCUGGCUGAAAUCCAUGCCGGACUAGGUGGACACCAUGCAGCAGCCCGGGCCCUGGUUGGAAAGGCAUUCCGUACAGGAUUUUAUUGGCCGACGGCUCGGGCAGAUGCACAGGACUUGGUCCAGCGAUGCGUUGGUUGCCAGCUCUUUGCUAAUCAGAGCCAUAUGCCACCCACCGCCCUCAAAACCAUACCCAUUACCUGGCCGUUCGUGGUCUGGGGGCUUGACAUGGUCGGACCCCUUAAAGGGGGAACCCAUAAGAGAAGGUACCUGUUGGUCAUGGUGGAUAAGUUCACCAAAUGGAUAGAGGCCAAACCGGUCAAAACGGCAGAGUCCGGACCAGUGAUAGACUUUAUAUCAGAGGUGGUACACCGUUACGGAGUCCCCCACAGCAUCAUCACGGAUAACAGCACGAACUUCACAGUCGAUGAAGUGAAGUCAUGGUGCAAAAAUAUGGGCAUUAAGCUCGACUAUGCGUCAGUCUAUCACCCUCAAACCAACGGUCAAGUGGAAAGAGAAAACGGUCUAAUAAUGAGCGGCAUUAAACCCAUACUAGUGAGGUCACUCACUAAAUCAGACACCCAAUGGGUCGAGGAGCUCGACUCCGUACUCUGGGGGCUGCGGACAACGCCUAACCGUACUACCGGAUUCACACCAUUCUUUAUGGUAUACGGCGCAGAGGCAGCCUUGCCCUGCGACAUUAUUCAUGACUCACCUCGAGUGCGCAUGUAUGAGGAAAGAGAAGCCGAGCUAGAUCGGCAGGACAGCUUGGACACAUUGGAGGAAGAACGGGACGUUGCGAAGACUCGUUCCGCAUUCUAUCAGCAACAGGCCAGAAGAUAUCAAAGCAGAGAAGUACGGGCCAAAACCUACAACGUUGGUGAACUAGUUCUACGCCUGCCGGACAAGAAGAAGGACAAGCUCAAGCCCAGAUGGGAAGGCCCCUUCAUUAUUGAUCAAGUACUGACCGGCGGAGCGUACCGUCUACGAAAUGCGUCGGACAACCGACUCGAGCCGAACCCAUGGAACGCAGCCCGACUCCGACGAUUCUAUGCCUAGCACCGGACUAAGAGUUCGUCCCCUUCCCCCGUCCAACUUUAUAUAUAUUUCGGUUGUCCUCUUUUUCUAUUUUUCUCCUUUUUAAAAUUAACAAAUCCCUUCGGGGCCUAUUUUUUCAUUUUUUGCAUACACACGAUGUGCCACUCGCACUCGUUAUUCCUGGGGGCUUCUUUUACAGAAGCUCAACUAUACGGGUUUUAUACCCAACACAUGUGUCAUGCUUCCACAUGUACCUUUUACCCGCCAUUAUAUGCAUCGAUAUGACUUAAGUUUUGGCCAAGCUGGGUUGCCUGGCUCCUGUGCUUACCCCUACGUUCCCGAUUGUUCGGCUAGGUGGUAAAGGGAGCACCUCUGCGAUUGUUACUGCCGGGUCAGCCGGAUGUGUACCUCAGACUGGGUGAAGCCGAAAGCUAGCGUUCUUAAGGGAAUAUUCGGUCGGUGAUUUAAAAGAUGACUUUUUACCUACCUUUCUUUUCCAUCUGCCCCCAGAUGUUUUACUGCUCCAUUGGCAGUCCGAACAUGCACUUUAGGGCAUGCCACCCCAGCGAAAGGAACCCUUAACGGAACUAUUCUCUCUGGAAGAUGUUUCUUACUAACCAUGUAAUAUAACAUAACUAGUUGGGCACUUUUCUGAUAAAGCACUAAUGACCCCUACGCCUAGUCUCCGUGCAUACCACGGUUAUUUCUUAACCACAAAGGUAUUCGGACGCACUCCGGACUCUCGGGUCCCGAGGUUGAAGCGAGAAGGUCGGCAACGACAAACGAUCUACAAUCCGGCUAGAAGACAUUUUACAUGUCAUUUUUUAAGGAUAACAUACAUUGUCAAGUUCAUUGAUUGUAUUCCUCCUCAAUCCCGUCUAACAGGCUGUCUAGCUUACAGUCCCGUUGGGAAAAUUUAGCAGCCAGUUCUACCUGGCUGUACACUAAACUCACAGGGAUCUCCUUCCCGUUGGGCCCCACUGGUCCAACUUCGGCCAUAUGGUUAGGGAUCCGCCUUCUUGUACCGCGUCUUCACCAUGGCCCAAGCCUCCCUGGCACCUUGACGGCAGGCCGAAACCUUCCACAAACAGAAGCGCUGCCGCACUCCCUGUAGCUUCUCUGCAAGCUCCCCGAGGCCCUCGGGCGGGACGAGGGAUGGCCAUAAAGCCUGUACGACGCCACUCAUUGCUUGCCGAACUCGUUCGAACAGCUGCAACAGUUCGAGAAGUUGAUCACCCAUUGAUACGGGAAUCUCCUCCGCAGGAUGGCCCGUGAGUAUACCUACAAGACACAUUAUGUCAAAUCGCUUCCUUGCCGAACUCCUCUUCCUAAGAGAGUUCGCUCGAGCACUUACUAUAGAUGCUGCGACGAAGCUGUUGAUUCUCCUUAACGGAGCCGGACAGCUCGGCCUGCGCGCCUUUCAGCUCUUCGCCGAGCCUGGCGUUGGCAUCUUGAAGCUUGUUCCUUUCCUACUGAACUCUGUUCAGCACAUUUUCGCCGGCUUUUAGCUGGCGUAGUAGCGAUUGCCUGUCCGGAUCUUGUUCGGCAGCACCUACAGUGUCGUUAUUAGACUCGUGCGCACGCCGCAUAGCGCUUAUAUUAAUUUAUACAAACGUGUUACCAGGUGGGGUCUUCCCGUCUCCUCCUGCGGCAGCAAGUGCAGCCCCAAGUUGGGCCUUGCAAUCUUGCAGCUCCCGGGACAGUUGGGCAUUCUUCUCGUGAAGAGACUGAAAGUUCAUGUGAUCCUUAAAUCAGUUAACAUAACCAAUUUAAGUCUCGGGGGCUACUGGUGUAUACAACCAUUAAAAAUUCCCUUACCCGUAUGUCUUUAACAUACUGCUCCGUGGGCCUGGUAAAACCAUUUUGGGCAGCCCGGAGAUGCGCGUCCCCUGCUUUAAAGGCAUCCAAUACCUCAGGGGAAAAGCACGCCUCUUGAAAAACUGUCCGGCGGCGUCUAUGAUUCAUAGCGCUCUCCACCUCCGACUUUGUGGCGGACAGUCUGUCGGUAUCCUCCAUUGGAGUAGGAUCCGGUUCGCGUCUUGCGCUUGCCUCCCCCUCCAGUCCGAGUGCAGGAGCCUGGCUGGUGUUGAUUGGGUUGGCAAUUCCUGUGCUCGCAGUCCGGCGAGCGCUUUUUCUUCUAUAAAGAUCAUGAGCACUUAGAAGUUUCCUCGGAACAUUGACUCAGAAAGAUCAAACGCGAGCUAUACCUCUGCGGCGACGUUUCCGCCCGCACGGCGCUCCUUUUCCUCCUGCUGGUUCGGCCUGACCUCUGUAGGUCGGCCGCCGCAGGCUCGGCUCCCGGCCGGAUUGGCGCUUCCUGCAAGAUACCAUCGUUCGCGAAGGUCAGAAUAGGCAAGGAUAAGAUAACGGUGUCUGGACUUCGGUCUUGGUCACCUGGGAUGCCGAACUUAGCCCGGGGUAGUCCGCCGUAAUGGCGACCAACGCAUCAUCAACGCUUAGCUGGUGAUACACCCUGUCGAUUAGCUCCACCCCGAGGUCCGGAUCCUCUUCGGAGGCCGGACCCAGGGAUCCUUCCGGGUCCUCGGGUUGUGGAGCAGGACUCACCAUGUCCUCCACAGUCCGGCGUAGACUCUGCGCCGAAGACGUAAUAUAAGAAGCUUAAACUUCGAAAAUACGGGUAAAGGCCCUUUUGAGGUGUUCGCUUACCCAUCCUCUGGGAUUGACCAUAGAAAACCCAUUCACAGGGUUCGGACGAAGGAAGUACUCCUUCUCCCCCUUGUACAGGCCGGACAGGAUCUUCACCAGAUCCUCGGUCGAAUCCGGGCCUUUGCGGCCGUGCCGGGUGGCAUCGUCCUCCCCAUUGAAAUCCCACAUGGGGUGGCCUCUGUAUUGCAGCGGCUGCACCCCCCGCUUGAUGCAUGUUGCCAUAACUCCAAUCAUGGUCAAGCCGGAAUGAGCCAUUAGUCUUAUUCGGCCCAUCAAGUAAUGGACGCUCUUGUCCUCCUCCAAACGGGGGCUCCGCGGGCGCCAGCUGAGGCGUUUCUUCAAGGGAGCAGCAUCAAACUCCGGGAGGCCGAUCCGGACUGGGUCAGGCAGCGGAGCGUCUACAAUAUAAAACCACUCCAAGGGCCAGUCUUUGGAAGCCCUCUUCGGGGUGCCGGAUAGGUAUCCGGUCCCAGCAAUGCGCCAUAUUUCGGCGCCGCCCACUUGAUAUAUGGACCCCUGGUGAGAAUGGGGUACGAGGAAGAAUAGCCUCUUCCACAAUGCGAAAUGGGGCUCGAUGCCCAGGAAUAGCUCGCAAAAAGCUACGUAGCCCGCGAUGUGCAACACAGAAGCGAGCGUGAGGUGGUGGAGCUGAAGUCCAUAGAACUUCAGGAGCCCGCGGAGGAACGGAUGUAUUGGAAAGCCGAGCCCCCUUAUUAGAUAAGGGACGAAACACACCCGCUCCCCCCUGUUGGGGCUUGGGGUGUCCUCCGCCUGGCUCCCUCCUCGAUAACUAACCAGUCCGGCUCGGACCGGAACCAUGAAGGCCGGCGGAAGCCAUCCCUCCGUUUGGAGCUUUACUAGCUCGUUGUGCGAAAUAGAGCACCUCCUCCAAUCGCCCGGCGAUGGGCUGGGAGCGCGUGAGGAAGAGCCGCGUUGACGAUCCAUGGUGGAAUGGAUUUCAGGGUCAGAGGCGCUUCGAUGGAGUAUACGCGGGAGGAGGAUGGUGCGGUUUGGAUCUGGAUCCCUGCCCCUUUAAUAGGCAGGUGACCCGCACGACCCGGGGGUAAAAUGUAAAAGACUCCCUGGCUUUUCGCAUUCGUGCGACGCGUGGAAGAGGGCCAUAAUUUGGCGUAGAAGUCAAGAAGCACAAUAUUCGAGGUGCAGUCGGACAUUGUUCAGCAGGAACAUGGAAUUCGAAGGGAGAACCCGCCUUGCAACGCCGAAGACUACAAGCACGCUGGACUUAUCGUCAUUGAAGCCUGGUUCGGGGGCUACUGAGGGAGUCCUGGACUAGGGGGUGUCCGGAUAGCCGGACUAUCGAUAUCCGCCGGACUCCCAGACUACGAAGAUAGAAGAUUGAAGACUCCGGCUCAUGUCCGGAAGGUACUUUACUUGGCGUGGAAGGCAAGCUUGGCAAUACGGAUGUGUAGAUCUCCUACCAUUGUAACCGACUCUGUGUAACCCUAGCCUCUCCGGUGUCUAUAUAAACCGGAGGGCUUUAGUCCGUAGGACACAACAUUACAUCUCAACAAUCAUACCAUAGGCUAGCUUCUAGGGUUUAGCCUCAUUGAUCUCAUGGUAGAUCUACUCUUGUACUACCCAUAUCAUCAAUAUUAAUCAAGCAGGACGUAGGGUAUUACCUCCAUCGAGAGGGCCUGAACCUGGGUAAAAACAUUGUGUCCCUCGUCUCCUGUUACCAUCCGCCUAGACGCACAGUUCGGGACCCCCUACCCGAGAUCCGCCGGUUUUGACACCGACAC
Molecule: long non-coding RNA, 10018 nt
Filed under: Triticum aestivum (bread wheat)
Lineage: Eukaryota; Viridiplantae; Streptophyta; Magnoliopsida; Poales; Poaceae
Description: long non-coding RNA (TAES_LNC011728)
Source: RNAcentral